RNAcentral lists this ribosomal RNA (468 nucleotides) under uncultured bacterium. Its description in RNAcentral is "partial 16S ribosomal RNA". It matches the Rfam family "Bacterial small subunit ribosomal RNA", at positions 28 to 507 of the family's 1533-position model. The record is from RNAcentral.
GACGAACGCUGGCGGCGUGCUUAACACAUGCAAGUCGAACGGAAAGGCCCUGCUUUUGUGGGGUGCUCGAGUGGCGAACGGGUGAGUAACACGUGAGUAACCUGCCCUUGACUUUGGGAUAACUUCAGGAAACUGGGGCUAAUACCGGAUAGGAGCUCCUGCUGCAUGGUGGGGGUUGGAAAGUUUCGGCGGUUGGGGAUGGACUCGCGGCUUAUCAGCUUGUUGGUGGGGUAGUGGCUUACCAAGGCUUUGACGGGUAGCCGGCCUGAGAGGGUGACCGGCCACAUUGGGGCUGAGAUACGGCCCAGACUCCUAAGGGAGGCAGCAGUGGGGAAUAUUGAAAAAUGGGCGGAAGCCUGAUGCAGCAACGCCGCGUGCGGGAUGACGGCCUUCGGGUUGUAAACCGCUUUCGCCUGUGACGAAGCGUGAGUGACGGUAAUGGGUAAAGAAGCACCGGCUAACUACGUG